AGUUUGAUCCUGGCUCAGGACGAACGCUGGCGGCGUGCCUAACACAUGCAAGUCGAACGGGGUUGAGUGCUUCGGUAUUCAACUUAGUGGCGAACGGGUGAGUAACGCGUGAAGAACCUGCCUUUCAGUGGGGGACAACAGUUGGAAACGACUGCUAAUACCGCAUGACACUUUUUGGGGGCAUCCCCGAGAAGUCAAAGCUUUAUGUGCUGAAAGAUGGCUUCGCGUCUGAUUAGCUAGUUGGUGGGGUAAUGGCCCACCAAGGCGACGAUCAGUAGCUGGUCUGAGAGGAUGAUCAGCAUCACUGGGACUGAGACACGGCCCAGACUCCUACGGGAGGCAGCAGUGGGGAAUAUUGGACAAUGGGCGCAAGCCUGAUCCAGCCAUGCCGCGUGGAUGAUGAAGGCCCUAGGGUUGUAAAGUCCUUUCGGCGGGGAAGAUAAUGACGGUACCCGCAGAAGAAGCCCCGGCUAACUUCGUGCCAGCAGCCGCGGUAAUUCCCUGUGUGA
This 509-nucleotide ribosomal RNA is filed under the name uncultured bacterium. RNAcentral describes it as "bacterial SSU rRNA". It matches the Rfam family "Bacterial small subunit ribosomal RNA", at positions 10 to 535 of the family's 1533-position model. The record is from RNAcentral.